UUUAACUUGGCAGAUAAAUGCUAUUGACUUAGAAUCAAUUAAUAAAAAAUUUUUUAGUUGGUA
This 63-nucleotide transfer RNA is filed under the name Bulinus globosus. Its description in RNAcentral is "tRNA-Leu". The record is from RNAcentral. Lineage: Eukaryota; Metazoa; Mollusca; Gastropoda; Planorbidae.